This 274-nucleotide ribosomal RNA is filed under the name uncultured bacterium. Its description in RNAcentral is "partial 16S ribosomal RNA". It matches the Rfam family "Bacterial small subunit ribosomal RNA", at positions 523 to 796 of the family's 1533-position model. The record is from RNAcentral.
AUACGGAGGGAGCAAGCGUUAUUCGGAAUCACUGGGCGUAAAGGACGCGUAGGCGGGUUCGUAAGUCAGGUGUGAAAUCCUACAGCUCAACUGUAGAACUGCACUUGAAACUACAGACCUAGAGUAUGGAAGGGGCAGAUGGAAUUAGUGGUGUAGGGGUAAAAUCCGUAGAUAUCACUAGGAAUACCGAAAGCGAAGGCGAUCUGCUGGGACAUUACUGACGCUGAGGCGUGAAAGCGUGGGGAGCAAACAGGAUUAGAAACCCUAGUAGUCC